RNAcentral lists this ribosomal RNA (694 nucleotides) under uncultured bacterium. RNAcentral describes it as "bacterial SSU rRNA". It matches the Rfam family "Bacterial small subunit ribosomal RNA", at positions 141 to 851 of the family's 1533-position model. The record is from RNAcentral.
GGAUAACGUUUGGAAACGAGCGCUAAUACCGCAUGAUAUUAUUGAGCUGCAUGGCUUGAUAAUCAAAGGAGCAAUCCGCUGAAAGAUGGGCUCGCGUCCGAUUAGGUAGUUGGCGGGGCAACGGCCCACCAAGCCGACGAUCGGUAGCCGGACUGAGAGGUUGAACGGCCACAUUGGGACUGAGACACGGCCCAGACUCCUACGGGAGGCAGCAGUGAGGGAUAUUGGUCAAUGGGGGAAACCCUGAACCAGCAACGCCGCGUGAGGGAAGACGGUUUUCGGAUUGUAAACCUCUGUCCUCUGUGAAGAUAAUGACGGUAGCAGAGGAGGAAGCUCCGGCUAACUACGUGCCAGCAGCCGCGGUAAUACGUAGGGAGCAAGCGUUGUCCGGAUUUACUGGGUGUAAAGGGUGCGUAGGCGGCUUUGCAAGUCAGAAGUGAAAUCCAUGGGCUUAACCCAUGAACUGCUUUUGAAACUGCAGAGCUUGAGUGGAGUAGAGGUAGGCGGAAUUCCCGGUGUAGCGGUGAAAUGCGUAGAGAUCGGGAGGAACACCAGUGGCGAAGGCGGCCUGCUGGGCUCUAACUGACGCUGAGGCACGAAAGCGUGGGUAGCAAACAGGAUUAGAUACCCUGGUAGUCCACGCUGUAAACGAUGAUUACUAGGUGUGGGUGGACUGACCCCAUCCGUGCCGGAG